GGAAUCUUCCGCAAUGGACGAAAGUCUGACGGAGCAACGCCGCGUGAGUGAUGAAGGUCUUCGGAUCGUAAAACUCUGUUGUCAGGGAAGAACAAGUACCGGAGUAACUGCCGGUACCUUGACGGUACCUGACCAGAAAGCCACGGCUAACUACGUGCCAGCAGCCGCGGUAAUACGUAGGUGGCAAGCGUUGUCCGGAAUUAUUGGGCGUAAAGCGCGCGCAGGCGGUCCUUUAAGUCUGAUGUGAAAUCUCGCGGCUCAACCGCGAGCGGCCAUUGGAAACUGGGGGACUUGAGUGCAGAAGAGGAAAGCGGAAUUCCACGUGUAGCGGUGAAAUGCGUAGAGAUGUGGAGGAACACCAGUGGCGAAGGCGGCUUUCUGGUCUGUAACUGACGCUGAGGCGCGAAAGCGUGGGGAGCAAA
This 422-nucleotide ribosomal RNA is filed under the name uncultured bacterium. Its description in RNAcentral is "bacterial SSU rRNA". It matches the Rfam family "Bacterial small subunit ribosomal RNA", at positions 358 to 772 of the family's 1533-position model. The record is from RNAcentral.